Paramuricea clavata is the source of this 773-nucleotide non-coding RNA. NCBI's taxonomy places the organism in Eukaryota, Metazoa, Cnidaria, Anthozoa, Malacalcyonacea, Plexauridae. The record is from the annotation of a GenBank genome assembly.
GUUUAAACACAAUCAAAAAUCUAAACUGACACUAACUAAAAAUAGUAAAACACAUAAACCGCCAUUUUGAAUACUGAUUUGUCCCCAUUACCGGUUUAUCUCAAAUCCGGCAAAUCCGGCCCGAAUUCCGGCCGGAAUUUUUGUCCAAAUCCGGUAAAUCCGGUUCCGGCCGGAUUUGAAAAUUCCAAAUCCGGUGCACCCCUAAAGAUGGUACAGAUGGUGUAUGAUGGUCGAAAUGUGUCAGAUGGUUGUCAGAUGGUGUAUGAUCGUGUAUGAUGGUCAAAGUGUGUCAGGUGGUUUACAGAUGGUGUAUGAUGGUGUAGGAUGGUUAUACAGGAAAGGGUUGUCAGAUGGUGAAGAUGGUACAGAUGGUGUAUGAUGGUCGAAGUGUGUCAGAUGGUUGUCAGAUGGUGUAUGAUCGUGUAUGAUGGUCAAAGUGUGUCAGAUGGUUGACAGAUGGUGUAUCAUGGUGUAGGAUGGUUAUACAGGAAAGGGUUGUCAGAUGGUGAAGAUGGUACAGAUGGUGUAUGAUGGUCGAAAUGUGUCAGAUGGUGUAUGAUGGUGUAGGGUGGUUAUACAGGGAAGGGUUGUCAGAUGGUGAAGAUGGCACAGAUGGUGUAUGAUGGUCGAAGUGUGUCAGAUGGUUGACAGAUGGUGUAUGAUGGUGUAGUGUGGUUAUACAGGGAAGGGUUGUCAGAUGGUGAAGAUGGUACAGAUGGUGUAUGAUGGUCGAAAUGUGUCAGAUGGUUGUCAGAUGGUGUAUGAUGGUGUAG